Long non-coding RNA from Misgurnus anguillicaudatus (oriental weatherfish), 2308 nucleotides. RefSeq lists it as uncharacterized. The record is from RefSeq and is a predicted model, not a curated record. Lineage: Eukaryota; Metazoa; Chordata; Actinopteri; Cypriniformes; Cobitidae.
CAUGACAUAAUGCUGUUUAACUAAAGCAACAUUGACUCCUCUAGCCUUUAUUUAUUUAAUGUGAUCCUGGUGAUAAGACCUGCAAACAGACCUGGCUCACAAGAUCUUUCUACAUAUGGCAAUGAUACAGCCGCGAUGUGACACAGCACUGUGGGGUUAUAUUUAGCUGUACCUUUGUCAUUAGAAGCCUGUGUUUAUAUCAUUCAUAUCAAGUUCAGCAGGUCUGUGUCCUCUUGUCGGGGUGCUACGUGCCGUACGAGAUCAUGCUAUACCUGCUGCCCGGUCCGAGGCGAUGAGAAGACCAGCAUAAAGUAGAUUUCACCCAGACAGUGCUAUGAUUCAUCCAUAAAAUAACAACAAGCUGGCAGGGGGAGAUGAGGACAUCAAAGAGCAGAUAAGGUCUGACCCGCAGUGGGUUCAGAUUUUAUCUAGAUGUUGUUCAAGUGUGAUGGACGAGUCUAAGCUGAGUGGAUUGACUGAAAGCUGUCCAUUGUUUGGUGUCUGGAGCCUCUUGUCAUCAUUCUCUAUAAACAACAGCAGAAAUGCACCUAAGUUCCUGCUGUAUCACUUAACCAAGUACUCCACGAGAUUUCUCCAUAUUGCUUUUUAUGUGCCCAAGAAUAAUGAAAUUCAUCUGCUUCCACCAGCGCUGGUUCUGGAAACUUUUGGAGUCCCCUGUGAAAGAGGCCCAGUCAGUUCCACAUGCAGACGUCCCGCGGAGACCAGAGGAUUAUGUUGAAGAAAGUCGCGUGGAGAUGGAGAUGAAGAGAAAGCAGAUAUCUGCGCUCAUAAAUGUUCUUUGUUGACACAAUCCACAGCAGUCUUACCCACAUUUAUAGCUGUGUUUUACUGGCUUGCUGAUAUAGACAAGUAUCAGUAAUGAGUUUAAAAUACACUCACCAGGACACACACACACAUAGCUUUUCAUGGCGAGCGUAAUAACAUUCUGGUAUGUUUUGAAAGUUUUAUGAGGUAGGCCAAAUAAGACUUCAGGCCAGAGAUGUUAUCUAAAUGAAAGUUUAAACACGGAUAUAUAGUGGCUUCCUCACAGCACCUACUGUAGUUAAAUACAUUACAGUACAUUAGUCAAUAUGGACAUUUGUCCCCAACAUAAUGAACCUAGCUAUAACUAGGGCGGGACCCUUUCAAAAAAAAGUUCACCUUUUCACCUAAAGAGUUCAUAUUAGUACCUCAUAGGUACAUAUUGGUACCAAAUGUAAGCAUAUCUGUACCUAAAUGGUAAUAAUAUUUUUGAAUACACAGCUUUGUCUGCCAGUUUAACAUUGUUCAGUCCGUGCGUGUUUGUGUGUACUAGCGUGUAGUGUUCUCCGUAGCUAAAGAUCUAAGCGAGAGGAUAAGAGCAGUAAGAAUAGGGUGUUAGGUAUCUGUGAAAUCUGUGAGGUCAGCCCAGCGCUCAGAGAAAAGCUCCACCUGGACCUGAGUUGAGCCGCCACCGCCCACUUUAUGGCCUGUGAAAUGCUGGACAGGAGAGCAGGUCACUGGAGAGACAGAGAUGACAGAGCCCAGGGACUGAGAUAAGAGGGUCAGGGGUGUAGAGGUCACAAUUCAGGGGGCGUGCUCAUCAACAACACAUGGAGAGGAUAAAGAGAGUCUGGUUUCUAUAAACCAUGAGUAAGAGUGUUGUAAUUUACAAGCCUCCAGAAAUCCAGUCUAAAACUUUAUGCCACUCCCUCGGAGAGGAUGAUAGGAAGGAGAUGCUGUAACAGAUCUCUCUGUGUGUGUGUAUAAAGAGGACAAGUUGUCCAUUGUAAAAUAAUUUAAGCCCUGAAGAAAAUACAGUGCUGUUAAAAAUAUGUUUAAAGUGAUAUACACUCACAUCGGUUGAAUCAAGUUACCCCAGUAAAGUUUAAUUUUGUGGGUGAAGUAUUCUUUUAAAUUAGCUUAACACCUAAACAACUGGCAGUUUUAGUUACAAAUUCGAUUAGUCAUAAGUGAUAUACUGUUUGAAGAGCUCAGGUGCAAAACCCUCUAAGUGCAUCUGACAUGUUUUCUUGUAAAUUAGCAUUUUUAUCAGGCUCUUAUGAUUAAGUUCAAUCAUUUCUCUUUAAUGCCAAUGAUACGAUUAUUAGUCAGUAAUUAAAAUGCCUUAUUUUCACAAAUGUCACUUUAGUCAUUUUUUAUUUUUAAUUAACAAAUUUGUCUUUUGCACCUAAAACCUCUAUGUACAUGCAAAAAAAUCUUCAGUCACUCUUUACUGUCAGUUCUGAAAAAAGAUAAAAGGUUCAAAAAUUCAGUCAAUAUCCUAAUAUAUUUAGUUAACCUUCUUCAACCUGUUAAAAAAAUGAUU